Long non-coding RNA from Passer domesticus (house sparrow), 1699 nucleotides. RefSeq lists it as uncharacterized. NCBI's taxonomy places the organism in Eukaryota, Metazoa, Chordata, Aves, Passeriformes, Passeridae. The transcript is spliced from 3 exons. The record is from RefSeq and is a predicted model, not a curated record.
UCGCAUACCCUCUCGCCCUUUCUGCUGGGCCUACAGCUUUUACAUGUCUCUCCAUGACUCUCUUCCUUUUGUCUGCCUCCUCAAUGGCUCCAGAGUCCUAAAGAAAUGUUCAGCUUUGAAGGCUGGCCUAAAAAAAUGGUAAUUUUCCAGACAAAGGCCAGGUGUUACUUCCAAUUCAUUCAGUAUGCAUCCCUAUUAUCCUGCGGGUCAGCUCCCGCUGAGCGCGCUCCAUGGGUGUUCCGACUGCGUAAGGCCUGUGAGAUUUGCCCCGUGUGACUGAACUGCAGAUGGAACUUUCAUAUCUCUUAUUUUAGCAGCAGUCAAUUUGCCAAACUUUCUUAAUAGCAAGCUGGAAGGUGAUUUCUGUGUCACAGCCUCAGAGCUUUCUCAUGCCAGCCAGAGGAGGAGGCGAGGUGUCCAUUGUCAGAAGAGGGCCGGAUAUGAGAGCUCCGGCCUGCGGGCAAGGGUGACCAUCAGCAAGCUCCCACCGCGCCUGUGCCACUACAGGGGGCACGGAUUUUGGCUCGUGGGAUUUUGGCUUAUCAGAAUUUGGCUCGUCGUGCCUUUUCCUGCUCCCCCUGGAGAGGCAAUACCAGCUCCCCUCAGAGGCAGCCCAGCAGGAGGAGAUGCGGGCCAGGCUGUGCAGAGCAGACUUCCCUGGGCACACCGGGGCUGCACAUCUGGGUCAGGGCUGAACGGAGCCUUGGCAGCGCUCGCACAGUGCCAGGAUUCCGUAACUCCUUCUGGAGCCACCAUCAUCUGUGCAGAUACCUCUUCGUAGCAAGACAGAGUGGGACAUGCACCAUACCAUCUAAAUGAUGAGUACAAAAAGAAGGAAAAGGAGAAAAAAAAGAUAUUUAAAUGAGACUGGGACGUCAUAAAUAAAUGGCUCAUUGCAUUAGACAGAAAAAAAAGAGAAGAUAAAUUUUUCUGCAAGGCACCCCAAACCAGCCAUGCUUUCUGCAAGGCACCCUAAACCAGCCAUGCUAUGGGGAGGAUCUAGGCAAGGCAACAAAGGUGAUGGAGAAGUACAAUGAGUGGCAGUGAGGAUUCUGUGCUUACACAGACACUGUGAGAGCAACCGUGAGGGGGCUCAGCAAUUAAACAGAAGCAAAGGGCUGUGAUUAAGCACAAACCCAACAAACCCAUGUUUUGACUGGGAGACAGAUGACUUGAAUGCAGCUACUCACGGUUUUUGCUGAAGAGGGUGAGAGGAGAAGAUCAACCAAGCCCAGGAUGACAAACCACAAGUUCACCUCGAUGUGGUGAAAGGCACCUUGGAAUGUGGAUCUUUAAGUGUGUGUUCAGAUUUCAUUACAGCCAUGGCAGCUGGCAGGGGCCUCUGUGUGAAAGUGUUUAGCAGAAGAGAAAUGGACUUAAUCACGGGCUUGGACGCUCUUCUGUGUUUCAAGUAGACAGUGCUGAAGAUGAUGUGAGGCCUGUAGUUACAGGGGUUUUGAAUAUCUAAACACUAUUUCACAACUUCUUUUUUUCCCUGUCCAGGCCUCCACCCUUUUGGUCAGUGCACAGGGAUUGUCCCAUUAACUGGAAGGAACUGGGGAGACCAAGAUAGUGAGGAAAGCUUGCCUUACUGAAAGUAAAAGGAACUAUUUACUAACUACUGCCAAAUACUCACUGGGAAAAAGAGCAAGACACAGACCAUAAAAUUCUUACAUCUGUUGACCAUUUAAUCUUUUGU